This 1532-nucleotide ribosomal RNA is filed under the name Streptomyces mutabilis. Lineage: Bacteria; Bacillati; Actinomycetota; Actinomycetes; Kitasatosporales; Streptomycetaceae. The record is from RNAcentral.
UCGCCGUUCGUCGGAUCGGACAACGCACCCGAAAACACGGUCUUGUCCAGACCACCGUCCACAGGCUAGCUUCGUACCGUAUAGAAAGCGCUUGCUGUACCGCGGUACCCGUCGUGGUCGCCCCGGCACUCGCCGCGGCACCCGUCGCAGUACCCCUGGCUCAUCGCUCGUACGAAGGGAAUGACGUGACACGCAAGACGGUGCGAAUCGCCAUGAACGGUGUGACCGGACGCAUGGGCUACCGCCAGCACCUCGUCCGUUCCAUCCUGGCCCUCCGUGAACAGGGCGGCCUCGACCUGGGCGACGGCACCGUGCUGUGGCCGGAACCGGUCCUGGUCGGCCGCCGUGAACACGCCCUGCGGACGCUGGCCGAACGUCACGGCCUGGAGCACGUCUCGACGGACGUGGACGAGGUCCUCGCCGACCCGUCCGUGGACAUCUACUUCGACGCCCAGGUCACCUCGGCCCGCGAGGAGGCGAUCAAGAAGGCGAUCGCCGCGGGCAAGCACGUCUACACCGAGAAGCCGACGGCCACCGGCCUGGACGGCGCCCUGGAGCUGGCCCGCCUGGCGAACGCCGCAGGCAUCAAGCACGGCGUCGUCCAGGACAAGCUCUUCCUCCCCGGCCUGCUCAAGCUCAAGCGCCUCAUCGACGGCGGCUUCUUCGGCCGCAUCCUGUCCGUGCGCGGCGAGUUCGGCUACUGGGUCUUCGAGGGCGACUGGCAGGACGCCCAGCGCCCCUCCUGGAACUACCGCGCCGAGGACGGCGGCGGCAUCGUCGUCGACAUGUUCCCGCACUGGGAGUACGUCCUGCACGAGCUGUUCGGCCGCGUGAAGUCCGUCCACGCCCUUGCCACCACCCACAUCCCGCAGCGCUGGGACGAGAACGGCAAGCCCUACGACGCCACCGCCGACGACGCCGCCUACGGCGUCUUCGAGCUCGACGGCGGCGCGAUCGCCCAGAUCAACUCCUCCUGGGCCGUGCGCGUCAACCGCGACGAACUGGUCGAGUUCCAGGUCGACGGCACCGAGGGCUCCGCGGUCGCGGGCCUUCGCAACUGCCGAGUCCAGCACCGCUCGGCCACCCCCAAGCCGGUGUGGAACCCGGACAUCCCCGCCACCGAGCUCUUCCGCGACCAGUGGCAGGAAGUCCCCGACAACCAGGACUUCGACAACGGCUUCAAGGCACAGUGGGAGCUCUUCCUCAAGCACGUCUACGCCGACGCGCCCUACCACUGGGACCUGCUGGCCGGUGCCCGCGGCGUCCAGCUCGCCGAGCUGGGCCUGAAGUCCUCGGCCGAGGGCCGCCGUCUCGACGUACCGGAGAUCGCGCUGUGACCCUCCACCUGCCCGACGCGAACGGCGCCCUGCGCGCCUACGAGCCCCGCACCGAGCCCCUCACGCUCACCCCGGGAAGCGCUUUUACCUCCCGCACCGUCUUCUCCGCGGCGCACGUCGUCGCCGACCCGUACGCGGACACCACCCCCGACGGCCCCGCCGCCGUCGACUGGGACUCCACCCUCGCCUUCCGCC